GGUUGAAGUACUGGCGACAACGCUGCAGGCCCAGGAACCUCCGUGCUUGGCUGAAGACCUCCUUCCAGGUACCGGGAAAGGUUCCCGCAGCGAGACCACCACCGAAACACGGACCCUGAACGCUGGCGAGUGAAAUCUGUACCAAGCGAGGCAAAUCCCACCGCGCCCACCCAAGCCAGCCUUUCUACCGGCCAGGACACGGGUGGCAGAGGCCAGCCCCAGAGCCGAGAUGGCUUUGACGUUAUGAAAAGGCCUCUCAAGAGUUCCGGGAGGGCAACUGUUUUGUGACGCGUGAAAGCACGACACCGAAACUUUCGUCGUCCGUAAAGUUUUCCGGUUUGGGCCGCGGGGAACCCGCAGAACAUUCCAUCUCCCCGAAAGGGAAGCCGGGCCCCAUCAGCCGUGACUCCCUUCCUCCGUCCUCCAGCCCUUGGAAACCACGCAUCCGCUCUGCCUCUCCGGACGUGCCGGUUCCAGAGGUUUCGGACACACGGAUUCCCACACUAUGUGCUGCUUUCCCCGAGCGUCACGUCUUCGAGAUCCAUCCACGUGCAAGCGCCUCACUCCUCCUGCGGCUGAACGACCACUCCAGGGUGUGGAUGGGUCGCAGUUUGCUUGUCCGUUCACGGGGUGGUGGGCAGCUGGGCCGUCCCCACGCUUUGGCUGCUGUGGACGUCUGUGCACGGGUUUUUGUUUGCACACUUGUGCCCCAUUCUCUUGGGGAGACACCUGGGAGCAGGAUCGCUGGGUCACGGGAUCAUUCUACGUUUGGCUUUGUAAGGAGCCGCCAGACUUUUCCAGCUUGUUCCACAUCCUGACACUUGUCACCCGCUUUUCUUUUUUUAAUUUCUUGUUUUCAUUAAUUUUUUUUG
Molecule: long non-coding RNA, 872 nt
Organism: Lynx canadensis (Canada lynx)
Lineage: Eukaryota; Metazoa; Chordata; Mammalia; Carnivora; Felidae
Exons: 3
Source: RefSeq, a predicted model, not a curated record